This 359-nucleotide unclassified non-coding RNA is filed under the name Hevea brasiliensis (rubber tree). The record is from RNAcentral. Lineage: Eukaryota; Viridiplantae; Streptophyta; Magnoliopsida; Malpighiales; Euphorbiaceae.
GUGUGUGUGUGUGUGUGUGUAUCUGACUAUCCUUGUCUUCAAAGUAACAAUAAUAAUAAAAAUUGACACUCAAAGUAUAAUUCAGAGCAGUACUCCCUAACUUUUGAAAAUUUAUAAUCAAGCGCAAUUAAAAUAUUUAACAGAAACCCACAAAGUUUUACUCUCAAUCAAUGCAAGUGUUUGCUCGAAUCACUCUCCAAAGCCCCACCUAAAAAGUAAUUGUAACCAUAACAUUUAAAAUAUGAAGAAACGGGUGUUCAAGGAUUCCCACAAAAUGCCAUAAAAUAGAACAAAGUUCAGAGCUUUCUCCUUUAAAAUGAGGAAAAAGAAAACAUUUUCAGUUUCUCAGCAACCAAACA